Molecule: small nucleolar RNA, 138 nt
Organism: Ornithorhynchus anatinus (platypus)
Lineage: Eukaryota; Metazoa; Chordata; Mammalia; Monotremata; Ornithorhynchidae
Source: RefSeq, a predicted model, not a curated record
CCCCUCUCAGGGUCUCACCUGGAGAGUUUCCAGUAUUCUACCAGUCUCGACUACACGAGGGAGAGUCAAGCGGGGGCCUGUCCAUUCCAUUCCUAGCUUGGGCAGUGGUUAGAGAAUGGAAGGCAAUCUGCUAAAGGU